CCCCUGGUGGCUCAGUUGGUAAAGAAUUUGCCUGCAAUGCAGGAGACCCAGGUUCAAUCCCUGGGUGGGGAA
Molecule: transfer RNA, 72 nt
Filed under: Bos taurus (domestic cattle)
Lineage: Eukaryota; Metazoa; Chordata; Mammalia; Artiodactyla; Bovidae
Also listed under: 4 other names
Rfam family: tRNA
About the family: Transfer RNA (tRNA) molecules are approximately 80 nucleotides in length.
Source: Rfam by way of RNAcentral